UACGGGGGGGGUAAGCGUUGUUCGGAAUUACUGGGCGUAAAGGGCUCGUAGGCGGCCAACUAAGUCAUACGUGAAAUCCCUCAGCUUAACUGGGGAACUGCGUGUGAUACUGGAUGGCUUGGAUUUGGGAGAGGGAUGCGGAAUUCCAGGUGUAGCGGUGAAAUGCGUAGAGAUCAGGAGGAACACCCGUAGCGAAGGCGGCACUCUGGGCCGAUACUGACACUGAGGAGCGAAAGCGUGGGGAGCGAACAGG
This 253-nucleotide ribosomal RNA is filed under the name uncultured bacterium. RNAcentral describes it as "partial 16S ribosomal RNA". It matches the Rfam family "Bacterial small subunit ribosomal RNA", at positions 524 to 776 of the family's 1533-position model. The record is from RNAcentral.